This 448-nucleotide ribosomal RNA is filed under the name uncultured Chroococcidiopsis sp. RNAcentral's name for it is "bacterial SSU rRNA". It matches the Rfam family "Bacterial small subunit ribosomal RNA", at positions 335 to 797 of the family's 1533-position model. The record is from RNAcentral. Lineage: Bacteria; Bacillati; Cyanobacteriota; Cyanophyceae; Chroococcidiopsidales; Chroococcidiopsidaceae.
ACUCCUACGGGAGGCAGCAGUGGGGAAUUUUCCGCAAUGGGCGAAAGCCUGACGGAGCAAUACCGCGUGAGGGAGGAAGGCUCUUGGGUUGUAAACCUCUUUUCUCAGGGAAGAAAAAAAUGACGGUACCUGAGGAAUAAGCAUCGGCUAACUCCGUGCCAGCAGCCGCGGUAAUACGGAGGAUGCAAGCGUUAUCCGGAAUUAUUGGGCGUAAAGCGUCCGCAGGUGGCAGUUCAAGUCUGCUGUCAAAGGUCAGGGCUCAACCCUGAACAGGCAGUGGAAACUGAACAGCUAGAGUGCGGUAGGGGCAGAGGGAAUUCCCAGUGUAGCGGUGAAAUGCGUAGAGAUUGGGAAGAACACCGGUGGCGAAAGCGCUCUGCUAGGCCUGCACUGACACUCAGGGACGAAAGCUAGGGGAGCGAAUGGGAUUAGAUACCCUUGUAGUCCC